UACUUCAGGCCAUCUGGAUGUAUACGUG
RNAcentral lists this non-coding RNA (28 nucleotides) under Homo sapiens (human). Lineage: Eukaryota; Metazoa; Chordata; Mammalia; Primates; Hominidae. The record is from RNAcentral.